RNAcentral lists this long non-coding RNA (1093 nucleotides) under Capra hircus (goat). RNAcentral describes it as "lncRNA (ENSCHIG00010024790.1)". Lineage: Eukaryota; Metazoa; Chordata; Mammalia; Artiodactyla; Bovidae. The record is from RNAcentral.
ACCCAUCUAUCUCCUGCUUCAGAGAUAAGUCUUAUUUCUUUCUCAUUUUAUACCCAGAGACAAUUUGAGACUCCUAACUUCCAACUGCUCUAUCAUCUCCAUUACUCAGCUGUCUGCAAACUGGAUAAUCAUACUUUCCAAUUUUCUUAGCCGCUAGUAAUUCAGCAUUACACUAAUUCAGACCAGUUUGAUUUUGCCAACAGAAUUCAUCAAGACAAUGUGCUGUGCCUUCAUGAGUACUUCCUCGCUUUAGAAAGAAAAAAAAAAAAGUAAUUACUGCUUUAAAAAAUAUGCCUGGAGAGAGUAUCACAAUAAUUGCUAAAAUCAAGAGAUUAAAAAUUAAAAAUUCCUUUGUUUUAAUUGCUUGCAAUGGCAUACACACAAAAACACAUAUCCAUUAUUAUCAACACAAAUACAUUAAAAGUACUUUUUUCAAGAAGAAAACAUUUUCAUUACAGUGUAUAUGGUAACAUUUUGUUUCACCUAGUGAGCAUAGAUAAACAACAGAAUUCUGUGGGAGAUCUCAUUCUAAAGAAAAUGCAAGGUCAAAUCCUAAAUUUCUGUACUUGAAAGUCAUUCAAUUUAUAUCUUUUCAAUCCUCAUACCCCCAUGGCAUUUUUGCCACAGAAAUACCUAGGUUGCCAUUAAUGUUUUGUUAAAAGCUAAUGCAUUUGCUCCCCCAAUAUCCACUACUUGUCAGGCUUUCUCUGUAUUUUAUAUCUUUGCUUCUUUGAUUGACUUUUUGUUCUCUGGUUACUUUUAUGAAGUGUUGUACUAUGUCUUCAGAAUUCAAUUCUUAAUACAUGAUAUGCUUUUAUUCUCCAAUAACAAUUUAUUUAUUUCAGAAUAUUUUAGAUUGUUGUCUAGAAGUAUGUAUCCCCCCUAAAGUUAUGCUUUUACUUUGUAUUUGAUAAAAAUAAAAAAGAUUUCAUUCUGGAAAUAGUGUGGCAGUGUUUGCAGUAUUUCUCAUCUAGAAGUAACUUCUUUUUCAUGUAGUGGUCUCUAUGAAGUGACGUGAAGUGAAGUCGUUCAGUCGUGUCCGUCUCUUUGCGACCCCAUGGACUCUAGCCUACCAGGCUCCUCUGUCCAUGGG